CUAUCACUAGUUGCUCCAUUCCCUGUCUCAAGGUAUAACUAUCCUGCUCUAAUUCUUCCAGCUCAUUUAUAACU
This 74-nucleotide small RNA is filed under the name Arabidopsis thaliana (thale cress). RNAcentral's name for it is "ATSL155640". The record is from RNAcentral. Lineage: Eukaryota; Viridiplantae; Streptophyta; Magnoliopsida; Brassicales; Brassicaceae.